This 1343-nucleotide ribosomal RNA is filed under the name uncultured bacterium. RNAcentral's name for it is "16S ribosomal RNA". It matches the Rfam family "Bacterial small subunit ribosomal RNA", at positions 28 to 1378 of the family's 1533-position model. The record is from RNAcentral.
GACGAACGCUGGCGGCGUGCUUGACACAUGCAAGUCGAACGGAAAGGCCCUGCUUUUGUGGGGUGCUCGAGUGGCGAACGGGUGAGUAACACGUGAGUAACCUGCCCUUGACUUUGGGAUAACUUCAGGAAACUGGGGCUAAUACCGGAUAGGAGCUCCUGCUGCAUGGUGGGGGUUGGAAAGUUUCGGCGGUUGGGGAUGGACUCGCGGCUUAUCAGCUUGUUGGUGGGGUAGUGGCUUACCAAGGCUUUGACGGGUAGCCGGCCUGAGAGGGUGACCGGCCACAUUGGGACUGAGAUACGGCCCAGACUCCUACGGGAGGCAGCAGUGGGGAAUAUUGCACAAUGGGCGGAAGCCUGAUGCAGCAACGCCGCGUGCGGGAUGACGGCCUUCGGGUUGUAAACCGCUUUCGCCUGUGACGAAGCGUGAGUGACGGUAAUGGGUAAAGAAGCACCGGCUAACUACGUGCCAGCAGCCGCGGUGAUACGUAGGGUGCGAGCGUUGUCCGGAUUUAUUGGGCGUAAAGGGCUCGUAGGUGGUUGAUCGCGUCGGAAGUGUAAUCUUGGGGCUUAACCCUGAGCGUGCUUUCGAUACGGGUUGACUUGAGGAAGGUAGGGGAGAAUGGAAUUCCUGGUGGAGCGGUGGAAUGCGCAGAUAUCAGGAGGAACACCAGUGGCGAAGGCGGUUCUCUGGGCCUUUCCUGACGCUGAGGAGCGAAAGCGUGGGGAGCGAACAGGCUUAGAUACCCUGGUAGUCCACGCUGUAAACGGUGGGUACUAGGUGUGGGGUCCAUUCCACGGGUUCCGUGCCGUAGCUAACGCUUUAAGUACCCCGCCUGGGGAGUACGGCCGCAAGGCUAAAAUUCAAAGGAAUUGACGGGGCCCCGCACAAGCGGCGGAGCAUGCGGAUUAAUUCGAUGCAACGCGUAGAACCUUACCUGGGUUUGACAUGGAUCGGGAGUGCUCAGAGAUGGGUGUGCCUCUUUUGGGGUCGGUUCACAGGUGGUGCAUGCCUGUCGUCAGCUCGUGUCGUGAGAUGUUGGGUUAAGUCCCGCAACGAGCGCAACCCUUGUUCACUGUUGCCAGCACGUUAUGGUGGGGACUCAGUGGAGACCGCCGGGGUCAACUCGGAGGAAGGUGGGGAUGACGUCAAGUCAUCAUGCCCCUUAUGUCCAGGGCUUCACGCAUGCUACAAUGGCUGGUACAGAGAGUGGCGAGCCUGUGAGGGUGAGCGAAUCUCGGAAAGCCGGUCUCAGUUCGGAUUGGGGUCUGCAACUCGACCCCAUGAAGUCGGAGUCGCUAGUAAUCGCAGAUCAGCAACGCUGCGGUGAAUACGUUCCCGGG